Molecule: non-coding RNA, 159 nt
Filed under: Marinicauda pacifica
Lineage: Bacteria; Pseudomonadati; Pseudomonadota; Alphaproteobacteria; Maricaulales; Maricaulaceae
Description: 6S RNA
Rfam family: 6S / SsrS RNA
About the family: E. coli 6S RNA was the first non coding RNA to be sequenced, but its function was unknown until recently. It consists of 184 nucleotides that fold into an extended hairpin structure with a large single-stranded internal bulge.
Source: RNAcentral
CGGACACUGGAGCGUGCGUCGAGCAUUCUCAUCCCGGAGACCUUACGUUUCUGAUAGGGAGCUGUCCCUGCCCUUGGCCGUGGCCUCGGGCACACGGCGCCCACCUGGUAAUCCAGGUCAUCGGGGAUGUUCAGAUGCUGACGGCGCAAUCGGUUCCGC